UGGGACUGAGACACGGCCCAGACUCCUACGGGAGGCAGCAGUGGGGAAUUUUGGACAAUGGGCGAAAGCCUGAUCCAGCCAUGCCGCGUGCAGGAUGAAGGCCUUCGGGUUGUAAACUGCUUUUGUACGGAACGAAAAGCCUCUUUCUAAUAAAGAGGGGUCAUGACGGUACCGUAAGAAUAAGCACCGGCUAACUACGUGCCAGCAGCCGCGGUAAUACAGAGGGGGC
RNAcentral lists this ribosomal RNA (229 nucleotides) under uncultured bacterium. RNAcentral's name for it is "partial 16S ribosomal RNA". It matches the Rfam family "Bacterial small subunit ribosomal RNA", at positions 314 to 535 of the family's 1533-position model. The record is from RNAcentral.